Molecule: unclassified non-coding RNA, 263 nt
Filed under: plant metagenome
Description: partial contains small subunit ribosomal RNA, internal transcribed spacer 1, and 5.8S ribosomal RNA
Source: RNAcentral
GUUCCGUAGGUGAACCUGCGGAAGGAUCAUUAUUGUAUAACCGAGGUGCGAGGGCUGUCGCUGACCCGAAAGGACGUGCACGCCCGAGUGCCCUCACUCACAUCCAUCUCACCCCUAUGUGCACCACCGCGUGGGUCCCCCUUUGGCUUGUUCGGAGGGGGGCUUACGUUUUCACACAAACUUUGUAUGCAGUGUAGAAUGUAUUUUUUGUUUUUGCGAUCACGCAAUCAAUACAACUUUCAACAACGGAUCUCUUGGCUCUC